GAUGAACGCUGGCGGCGUGCCUAAUACAUGCAAGUCGAGCGAACAGACGAGGAGCUUGCUCCUCUGACGUUAGCGGCGGACGGGUGAGUAACACGUGGAUAACCUACCUGUAAGACUGGGAUAACUUCGGGAAACCGGAGCUAAUACCGGAUAAUAUAUUGAACCGCAUGGUUCAAUAGUGAAAGACGGUUUUGCUGUCACUUAUAGAUGGAUCCGCGCCGCAUUAGCUAGUAGGUAAGGUAACGGCUUACCAAGGCAACGAUGCGUAGCCGACCUGAGAGGGUGAUCGGCCACACUGGAACUGAGACACGGUCCAGACUCCUACGGGAGGCAGCAGUAGGGAAUCUUCCGCAAUGGGCGAAAGCCUGACGGAGCAACGCCGCGUGAGUGAUGAAGGUCUUCGGAUCGUAAAACUCUGUUAUUAGGGAAGAACAAAUGUGUAAGUAACUAUGCACGUCUUGACGGUACCUAAUCAGAAAGCCACGGCUAACUACGUG
This 497-nucleotide ribosomal RNA is filed under the name uncultured bacterium. RNAcentral describes it as "partial 16S ribosomal RNA". It matches the Rfam family "Bacterial small subunit ribosomal RNA", at positions 28 to 507 of the family's 1533-position model. The record is from RNAcentral.